Molecule: transfer RNA, 69 nt
Filed under: Eumecichthys fiski
Lineage: Eukaryota; Metazoa; Chordata; Actinopteri; Lampriformes; Lophotidae
Description: tRNA-Glu
Rfam family: tRNA
About the family: Transfer RNA (tRNA) molecules are approximately 80 nucleotides in length. Their secondary structure includes four short double-helical elements and three loops (D, anti-codon, and T loops). Further hydrogen bonds mediate the characteristic L-shaped molecular structure. tRNAs have two regions of fundamental functional importance: the anti-codon, which is responsible for specific mRNA codon recognition, and the 3' end, to which the tRNAs corresponding amino acid is attached (by aminoacyl-tRNA synthetases). tRNAs cope with the degeneracy of the genetic code in two manners: having more than one tRNA (with a specific anti-codon) for a particular amino acid; and 'wobble' base-pairing, i.e. permitting non-standard base-pairing at the 3rd anti-codon position.
Source: RNAcentral
GUUUCUGUAGUUGAAUAACAACAGUGGUUUUUCAAGUCACAGGUUCUGGUUAAAAUCCAGGCAGAAAUU